CCUACGGGAGGCAGCAGUGGGGAAUAUUGCGCAAUGGGCGAAAGCCUGACGCAGCGACGCCGCGUGAGGGAUGAAGGUCUUAGGAUCGUAAACCUUUGUCAGCAGGGAAGAACGGUCACUGUGCUAAUCAGCAGUGAAUUGACGGUACCUGCAAAGGAAGCACCGGCUAACGCCGUGCCAGCAGCCGCGGUAAUACGGAGGGUGCGAGAGUUAAUCGGAAUUACUGGGCGUAAAGCGCUCGUAGGCGGUACGUCAAGUCAAGGGUGAAAGUCCCGCGCUCAACGUGUGAACUGCCUUUGAAACUGGCAAACUUGAGUGUGUGAGAGGUAAGGGGAAUUCCAGGGGUAGGGGUGAAAUCCGUAGAUAUCAGGAGGAACAUCAGUGGCGAAGGCGACUAUCUGGCACAUAACUGACGCUGAGGAGCGAAAGCGUGGGUAGCAAACAGGAUUAGAUACCCGGGUAGUC
Molecule: ribosomal RNA, 465 nt
Filed under: uncultured bacterium
Lineage: Bacteria
Description: partial 16S ribosomal RNA
Rfam family: Bacterial small subunit ribosomal RNA
Source: RNAcentral